This 82-nucleotide small RNA is filed under the name Flavobacterium sp. 81. RNAcentral describes it as "Flavo-1 RNA". Lineage: Bacteria; Pseudomonadati; Bacteroidota; Flavobacteriia; Flavobacteriales; Flavobacteriaceae. The record is from RNAcentral. RNAcentral also lists the same sequence under 1 other name.
UGUUUGCGUGAGGGAUAGUAGUGAAAAGCCCACAGCCUGACGAAGGAAGUGCGAGGACUUGUAGCGGAUAGCCCGGUUCGCC